CGAACGGGUGAGUAAUGUAUCGGAACGUACCCAGUAGCGGGGGAUAACUACGCGAAAGCGUGGCUAAUACCGCAUACGCCCUAUGGGGGAAAGAGGGGGAUCGCAAGACCUCUCACUAUUGGAGCGGCCGAUAUCGGAUUAGCUAGUUGGUGGGGUAAAGGCCUACCAAGGCUGCGAUCCGUAGCUGGUUCGAGAGGACGACCAGCCACACUGGGACUGAGACACGGCCCAGACUCCUACGGGAGGCAGCAGUGGGGAAUUUUGGACAAUGGGGGCAACCCUGAUCCAGCCAUCCCGCGUGUGCGAUGAAGGCCUUCGGGUUGUAAAGCACUUUUGGCAGGGAAGAAAAGGCUCUGGUUAAUACCUGGGGCCGCUGACGGUACCUGCAGAAUAAGCACCGGCUAACUACGUGCCUGCAGCCGCGGUAAUACAUAGGGUGCAAGCGUUAAUCGGAAUUACUGGGCGUAAAGCGUGCGCAGGCGGUUCGGAAAGAAAGAUGUGAAAUCCCAGGGCUUAACCUUGGAACUGCAUUUUUAACUACCGGGCUAGAGUAUGUCAGAGGGGGGUAGAAUUCCACGUGUAGCAGUGAAAUGCGUAGAGAUGUGGAGGAAUACCGAUGGCGAAGGCAGCCCCCUGGGAUGAUACUGACGCUCAUGCACGAAAGCGUGGGGAGCAAACAGGAUUAGAUACCCUGGUAGUCCACGCCCUAAACGAUGUCAACUAGCUGUUGGGGGCUUCGGCCCUUAGUAGCGCAGCUAACGCGUGAAGUUGACCGCCUGGGGAGUACGGUCGCAAGAUUAAAACUCAAAGGAAUUGACGGGGACCCGCACAAGCGGUGGAUGAUGUGGAUUAAUUCGAUGCAACGCGAAAAACCUUACCUACCCUUGACAUGUCUGGAAGGCCGAAGAGAUCUGGCUGUGCUCGCAAGAGAACCGGAACACAGGUGCUGCAUGGCUGUCGUCAGCUCGUGUCGUGGGAUGUUGGGUUAAGUCCCGCAACGAGCGCAACCCUUGUCAUUAGUUGCUACGAAAGGGCACUCUAAUGAGACUGCCGGUGACAAACCGGAGGAAGGUGGGGAUGACGUCAAGUCCUCAUGGCCCUUAUGGGUAGGGCUUCACACGUCAUACAAUGGUCGGGACAGAGGGUCGCCAACCCGCGAGGGGGAGCCAAUCCCAGAAACCCGAUCGUAGUUCGGAUUGCAGGCUGCAACUCGCCUGCAUGAAGUCGGAAUCGCUAGUAAUCGCGGAUCAGCAUGUCGCGGUGAAUACGUUCCCGGGUCUUGUACACACCGCCCGUCACACCAUGGGAGUGGGUUUUACCAGAAGUAGUUAGCCUAACCGCAAGGGGGGCGAUUACCACGGUAGGAUUCAUGACUGGGGUGAAGUCGUAACAAGGUAACC
RNAcentral lists this ribosomal RNA (1400 nucleotides) under uncultured Pusillimonas sp. Its description in RNAcentral is "bacterial SSU rRNA". It matches the Rfam family "Bacterial small subunit ribosomal RNA". The record is from RNAcentral. Lineage: Bacteria; Pseudomonadati; Pseudomonadota; Betaproteobacteria; Burkholderiales; Alcaligenaceae.